This 190-nucleotide ribosomal RNA is filed under the name uncultured bacterium. Its description in RNAcentral is "partial 16S ribosomal RNA". It matches the Rfam family "Bacterial small subunit ribosomal RNA", at positions 1312 to 1500 of the family's 1533-position model. The record is from RNAcentral.
UCGCCUGCAUGAAGUUGGAAUUGCUAGUAAUCGCGAAUCAGAAUGUCGCGGUGAAUACGUUCCCGGGCCUUGUACACACCGCCCGUCACACCAUGAGAGUCGAUAACACCCGAAGCCUGUGAGCUAACCUUUUAGGAGGCAGCAGUCGAAGGUGGGGUUNAUGAUUGGGGUGAAGUCGUAACAAGGUAGC